Molecule: ribosomal RNA, 272 nt
Filed under: uncultured bacterium
Lineage: Bacteria
Description: partial 16S ribosomal RNA
Rfam family: Bacterial small subunit ribosomal RNA
Source: RNAcentral
CCAACCCUACGGGGCGCAGCAGUGGGGGAUAUUGCACAAUGGGGGGAACCCUGAUGCAGCGACGCCGCGUGGGUGAAGGAGCGUUUCGGCGCGUAAAGCCCUAUCGGCAGGGAAGAAGGAGGACGGUACCUGACUAAGAAGCCCCGGCUAACUACGUGCCAGCAGCCGCGGUAAUACGUAGGGGGCAAGCGUUAUCCGGAUUUACUGGGUGUAAAGGGGGCGCAGACGGCAGCGCAAGCCAGGAGUGAAAUCCCGGGGCCCAACCCCGGGCC